UCCAAUGAAAGAUAUCUACGCAUUGAUGC
This 29-nucleotide small RNA is filed under the name Bombyx mori (domestic silkworm). Its description in RNAcentral is "ovarian small RNA-26591". Lineage: Eukaryota; Metazoa; Arthropoda; Insecta; Lepidoptera; Bombycidae. The record is from RNAcentral.